UUUGAAAAAACUGCAGAAAAAAAGAAAAAAGUUAGAACGUGAGAGAGAGAAAGAGGAGAAAAGUAAAAAGCAGAGUUGAUUUGACCCUCACUAUUCAUCAUCUCCCCAAGCUCGCUGCUCACCCUCUGUUCCGCUCCGCGAAGCCCGACGCUCCACCCUCCGCGAGCAGGCCCGAGCCGUGCUACAGCCGAGCCGCCUUCCCCACGCCGACGUAGCCGCCGGUCUCCGUCCACGAGCCCCGACGACCCGCGCCACCACGACGCCGAGCCUCGGUGCGCCUCCUUCGCGAGCAACCCGCGACGCCAGCCCAGUCGUCCGCGACUCUCCCUGCCGACGCCGCUCCGGCCCUGCUCUGCCACUCGCCUGCGAUUGCCCAGCAGAUCUUGCCUUUGCUCGCCGUCCGUGAAGCCCGACGCCGACGGAUUUGAGACCCUCGCAGCAACCGCGACCCGAACGCCUUUGCUUCGCCUUACCGUCGCCAAUCUGCAGUACCAGAAGUCCCGGCGUCCCUGCUCGCCUCCGCCUGACGCCCAGCCGACGCCGUGCCGUUGCCCCGAGGCCUAGCGAUCCGACGCUCUUGCUGCCCAAGUACUGACACUUGAGUUGCUCUGCCGUGCCGCAACCCGGAGUCCUCUGCUCGUGGCCCACUGUCCAGAUCUCGCGAUCCCGGCGGCCUGCUGCCACCCAAGUCCUUGCGACGACCCACGACGCCUGUAGCAGCCCUCCGCCGAGUCGGUCUCCGCCCCUGCACGCCGUUCCGAGCUUGCUCCCUGUCCGAGCGACGCCGCUGUAGCACCUGUGACCAGCUGCUGCAGCUGUGUCCACCAGCCACCGAGUCCCUUCGCCGGAGCUCCGACCACCGUGACUUCCUUUGACGGUGACCCACCACACAGCCACUGCCUUUGCUGGAGUUUCCCCUGCCGGACCUCCGAUCCUCUGCUUUGGUGACUUGCCACGAACACGAAGCAGCAGAGGUGACUUGCCACGAACACGAAGCUUGGAAGGAAAAGGGAAAAUUAGGUAGUUUUUAUUUAUUUAUUUACUUACUGUUUUCUUUUUCUUUCCUUUUUAUUUUAUUCUUUUAGUGAAAUUGUUCUCUUUAAAUAUGUGAUUGAGAUCCCAAUAUGAAAGUGCCCCUCAAGCUAGGGAUUGACAGUCCGAUUUUCGCG
RNAcentral lists this long non-coding RNA (1169 nucleotides) under Eucalyptus grandis. Its description in RNAcentral is "long non-coding RNA (EGRA_LNC000221)". The record is from RNAcentral. Lineage: Eukaryota; Viridiplantae; Streptophyta; Magnoliopsida; Myrtales; Myrtaceae.